CCUACGGGUGACAGCAGUGAGGAAUAUUGGUCAAUGGACGGAAUUCUGAACCAGCCAAGCAGCGUGAAGGAUGACGGCUCUAUGGGUUGUAAACUUCUUUUAUAUGGGAGUAAAAUGUUCCACGUGUGGGGUUUUGUAUGUACCGUAUGAAUAAGGAUCGGCUAACUCCGUGCCAGCAGCCGCGGUAAUACGGAGGAUCCGACCGUUAUCCGGAUUUAGUGGGUUUACAGGGAGCGUAGGUGGUUUGUUAAGUUAGUUGUGAAAGUUUGAGGCUCAACCUUAAGAUUGCAGCUGAAACUGGCAGUCUAGAGUACAGUAGAGGCGGGCGGAAUUCGUGGUGUAGCGGUGAAAUGCUUAGAUAUCACGCAGAACACCGAUUGCGAAGGCAGCUCACUGGACUGGAACUGACACUGAGGCUCGAAAGUGUGGGUAUCAAACAGGAUUAGAUACCCCAGUAGUC
RNAcentral lists this ribosomal RNA (460 nucleotides) under uncultured bacterium. RNAcentral's name for it is "partial 16S ribosomal RNA". It matches the Rfam family "Bacterial small subunit ribosomal RNA", at positions 338 to 795 of the family's 1533-position model. The record is from RNAcentral.